Molecule: long non-coding RNA, 276 nt
Filed under: Salvia miltiorrhiza (redroot sage)
Lineage: Eukaryota; Viridiplantae; Streptophyta; Magnoliopsida; Lamiales; Lamiaceae
Description: long non-coding RNA (SMIL_LNC010915)
Source: RNAcentral
AACUUAAUGGAAUAUCAUAAUCCUUGUUUUGAUGAUACCAAAAUCAAUAGGUUUCUAUUGUAAUAGGCUAGAACUGCUCGAACUCAAGUGUUAGAGUUCUUUUUCUAGUUUAGUUGUUGUUCUGAAGACUGAAGACUGAAGAACGAAGGACUGAAGACUGAAGACUGAAGUUGCCGACUAAAGCAUCAGUCAAAGAAUCAGUCUUGAACUGAUUACUUAAUGCGUGCCACGUGGAAUCAGCGGACUGAUACUAAAGUCAAGUAUCAGUUAAACAUU